Molecule: non-coding RNA, 311 nt
Filed under: Candidatus Zhuqueibacterota
Lineage: Bacteria; Pseudomonadati
Source: RNAcentral
UUAUAGAAUAAUAAGUUCUUUGAAAAUAAUUUUGAAGGGAAGCUGGUGCAAAUCCAGCACAGCCCCGCUACUGUAAGUGGCUACAAAAGCUAAAUUUUCGCGCCAGUGACCGGGCAUAGGAAGAUGCUUUCAAGGGACGAAGUCAAUAGACGUAAACCUUAGGUUUCUGGCGCGGAUAAACCAUCUGAGGAAUUUGAGAAACUUUCUCGGAGAAGGUUAGCGAGGUCACCUUAAGUGACCGAGUCCGCCUUCGGCGGAUAAGUAGGUCUGAUGCCACAAGUCAGGAUACCUAAAGUCNNNNNNNNNNNNNN